AACGAACGCUGGCGGCAUGCCUAACACAUGCAAGUCGAACGAGACCUUCGGGUCUAGUGGCGCACGGGUGCGUAACGCGUGGGAACCUGCCCUUAGGUUCGGAAUAACUCCCCGCAAGGGGUGCUAAUACCGGAUAAUGUCUUCGGCCCAAUGAUUUAUCGCCUUUGGAUGGGCCCGCGUUGGAUUAGCUAGUUGGUAGGGUAAAAGCCUACCAAGGCGACGAUCCAUAGCUGGUCUGAGAGGAUGAUCAGCCACACUGGGACUGAGACACGGCCCAGACUCCUACGGGAGGCAGCAGUGGGGAAUAUUGGACAAUGGGCGAAAGCCUGAGCCAGCAAUGCCGCGUGAGUGAUGAAGGCCUUAGGGUUGUAAAGCUCUUUUACCCGGGAUGAUAAUGACAGUACCGGGAGAAUAAGCUCCGGCUAACUCCGUG
Molecule: ribosomal RNA, 433 nt
Filed under: uncultured bacterium
Lineage: Bacteria
Description: partial 16S ribosomal RNA
Rfam family: Bacterial small subunit ribosomal RNA
Source: RNAcentral